CAGGCCUAACACAUGCAAGUCGAACGCCCGAGUAAUCGGGAAUGGCAGACGGGUGAGUAACACGUGGGAACGUACCCUUUGGUUCGGAACAACCUUGGGAAACUAGGGCUAAUACCGGAUACGCGCGAGAGCGGAAAGGUUUACCGCCGAAGGAUCGGCCCGCGUCUGAUUAGCUAGUUGGUGAGGUAACGGCUCACCAAGGCGACGAUCAGUAGCUGGUCUGAGAGGAUGAUCAGCCACAUUGGGACUGAGACACGGCCCAAACUCCUACGGGAGGCAGCAGUGGGGAAUAUUGGACAAUGGGCGCAAGCCUGAUCCAGCCAUGCCGCGUGAGUGAUGACGGCCCUAGGGUUGUAAAGCUCUUUUACCUGGGAAGAUAAUGACGGUACCAGGAGAAUAAGCCCCGGCUAACUUCGUGCCAGCAGCCGCGGUAAU
RNAcentral lists this ribosomal RNA (435 nucleotides) under uncultured bacterium. RNAcentral describes it as "bacterial SSU rRNA". It matches the Rfam family "Bacterial small subunit ribosomal RNA", at positions 43 to 524 of the family's 1533-position model. The record is from RNAcentral.